AUCCAGCUGACGAGUCCAGGACGAAAUGCGCAUCCUGGAU
This 40-nucleotide non-coding RNA is filed under the name Trichobilharzia regenti. The record is from RNAcentral. Lineage: Eukaryota; Metazoa; Platyhelminthes; Trematoda; Strigeidida; Schistosomatidae.